UGGCGGACGGGUGAGUAAUGUCUGGGAAACUGCCCGAUGGAGGGGGAUAACUACUGGAAACGGUAGCUAAUACCGCAUAACGUCGCAAGACCAAAGAGGGGGACCUUCGGGCCUCGCGCCAUCAGAUGAACCCAUAUGGGAUUAGCUAGUAGGUGAGGUAACGGCUUACCUAGGCGACGAUCCCUAGCUGGUCUGAGAGGAUGACCAGCCACACUGGAACUGAGACACGGUCCAG
Molecule: ribosomal RNA, 235 nt
Filed under: uncultured bacterium
Lineage: Bacteria
Description: partial 16S ribosomal RNA
Rfam family: Bacterial small subunit ribosomal RNA
Source: RNAcentral